Molecule: ribosomal RNA, 927 nt
Filed under: Bacillus sp. G13
Lineage: Bacteria; Bacillati; Bacillota; Bacilli; Caryophanales; Bacillaceae
Description: bacterial SSU rRNA
Rfam family: Bacterial small subunit ribosomal RNA
Source: RNAcentral
ACGUGGGCAACCUGCCUAUAAGACUGGGAUAACUUCGGGAAACCGGAGGCUAGAUACCGGGAUACGGUUCUUUUCUCGCAUGAGAGAGAGAUGGGAAAGGACGGUUCUGCUGUCACUUAUAGAUGAGGCCCGCGGCGCAUUAGCUAGUUGGUGAGGGUAAUGGCUCACCAAGGCGACGAUGCGUAGCCGACCUGAGAGGGUGAUCGGCCACACUGGGACUGAGACACGGMCACAGACUCCUACGGGAGGGCAGCAGUAGGGAAUCUUCCGCAAUGGACGAAAGUCUGACGGAGCAACGCCGCGUGAACGAAGAAGGCUUUCGGGUCGUAAAGUUCUGUUGUUAGGGAAGAACAAGUACCAGAGUAACUGCUGGUACCUUGACGGUACCUAACCAGAAAGCCACGGCUAACUACGUGCCAGCAGCCGCGGUAAUACGUAGGGUGGCAAGCGUUGUCCGGAAUUAUUGGGCGUAAAGCGCGCGCAGGUGGUUCCUUAAGUCUGAUGUGAAAGCCCACGGCUCAACCGUGGAGGGUCAUUGGAAACUGGGGAACUUGAGUGCAGAAGAGGAAAGUGGAAUUCCAAGUGUAGCGGUGAAAUGCGUAGAGAUUUGGAGGAACACCCAGUGGCGAAGGCGACUUUCUGGUCUGUAACUGACACUGAGGCGCCGAAAGCGUGGGGAGCCAACAGGAUUAGAUACCCUGGUAGUCCCCGCCGUAAACGAUGAGUGCUAAGUGUUAGAGGGUUUCCCGCCCCUUUAGUGCUGCAGCUAACGCAUUAAGCCACUUCCGCCCUGGGCGAGUACGGCCGCACAGGCUGAAACUCAAACGGAAUUGACGGGGGCCCGCACAAGCGGUGGAGCAUGGGGUUUAAUUGAAGCAACGCGAAGAACCUUGCCAGUCUUGCUUCCUCUACAACCCUAGAGAUAGG